AUGGAAAGCCAACGCGCACCACAUGCCCUCUCCGAUCCCUCUUCAACUUCGGCGCGGGUUGAAGAGCACCAGGCGCCACCCGAUGGAGGCGGAGGUGGCCUCCCCCAAUGCAUCCCUGCCUGGGGGCUUGCUGCGCCGCCGCUGGAUGUCUCUUCUAGUGGAUCUUCGCAUCUUGGUCGACCUCCCUUCCUGGUGCAGUCCAUGCUCCGGGGGGGGGGGCAUCUAGGCAUGAGCACCUCGGGCAUGGCCGGCGCCGGAUUCCGCCACGCAUUGCUGCUGCAGCAUUCUAUACAGUUCAUUUCGUGGGGGUGUCGUGAUGAAGUACGCAUCGUUGCAGCUCGCUUCUAG
This 348-nucleotide ribosomal RNA is filed under the name Triticum aestivum (bread wheat). RNAcentral describes it as "partial small subunit ribosomal RNA". Lineage: Eukaryota; Viridiplantae; Streptophyta; Magnoliopsida; Poales; Poaceae. The record is from RNAcentral.